This is a non-coding RNA of Acanthosepion pharaonis, 114 nucleotides long. Lineage: Eukaryota; Metazoa; Mollusca; Cephalopoda; Sepiida; Sepiidae. The record is from the annotation of a GenBank genome assembly.
UUACGGCCACAUCACGUCACACACCGGUUCCAGUACUAGUUCAUCAAAGUUAAGCAACAUCGGGCUUGGUCAGUACCAAGAUGGGUGACCGCUUGGGAAUAACAGGUACAGUAA